UACAGAGGUCUCAAGCGUUGUUCGGAUUCAUUGGGCGUAAAGGGUGCGUAGGCUGCGGGGUAAGUCGGGUGUGAAAUCUCAGAGCUCAACUCUGAAACUGCAUUCGAUACUGCUUUGCUUGAGGACUGGAGAGGAGAUUGGAAUUCACGGUGUAGCAGUGAAAUGCGUAGAUAUCGUGAGGAAGACCAGUGGCGAAGGCGGAUCUCUGGACAGUUCCUGACACUGAGGCGCGAAGGCCAGGGGAGCAAACGGG
RNAcentral lists this ribosomal RNA (253 nucleotides) under uncultured bacterium. RNAcentral describes it as "partial 16S ribosomal RNA". It matches the Rfam family "Bacterial small subunit ribosomal RNA", at positions 524 to 776 of the family's 1533-position model. The record is from RNAcentral.